Molecule: ribosomal RNA, 491 nt
Filed under: uncultured bacterium
Lineage: Bacteria
Description: partial 16S ribosomal RNA
Rfam family: Bacterial small subunit ribosomal RNA
Source: RNAcentral
AGUGAACGCUGGCGGUAGGCCUAACACAUGCAAGUCGAACGGCAGCACAGCAAGAGCUUGCUCUUACGGGUGGCGAGUGGCGGACGGGUGAGGAAUACAUCGGAAUCUACUUUUUCGUGGGGGAUAACGUAGGGAAACUUACGCUAAUACCGCAUACGACCUACGGGUGAAAGCAGGGGAUCUUCGGACCUUGCGCGAUUGAAUGAGCCGAUGUCGGAUUAGCUAGUUGGCGGGGUAAAGGCCCACCAAGGCGACGAUCCGUAGCUGGUCUGAGAGGAUGAUCAGCCACACUGGAACUGAGACACGGUCCAGACUCCUACGGGAGGCAGCAGUGGGGAAUAUUGGACAAUGGGCGCAAGCCUGAUCCAGCCAUACCGCGUGGGUGAAGAAGGCCUUCGGGUUGUAAAGCCCUUUUGUUGGGAAAGAAAAGCAGCAGGUUAAUACCCCGCUGUUCUGACGGUACCCAAAGAAUAAGCACCGGCUAACUUCGU